AAAUUGAAGAGUUUGAUCAUGGCUCAGAUUGAACGCUGGCGGCAGGCCUAACACAUGCAAGUCGAACGGUAGCACAGAGAGCUUGCUCUCGGGUGACGAGUGGCGGACGGGUGAGUAAUGUCUGGGAAACUGCCUGAUGGAGGGGGAUAACUACUGGAAACGGUAGCUAAUACCGCAUAAUGUCGCAAGACCAAAGAGGGGGACCUUCGGGCCUCUUGCCAUCAGAUGUGCCCAGAUGGGAUUAGCUAGUAGGUGGGGUAACGGCUCACCUAGGCGACGAUCCCUAGCUGGUCUGAGAGGAUGACCAGCCACACUGGAACUGAGACACGGUCCAGACUCCUACGGGAGGCAGCAGUGGGGAAUAUUGCACAAUGGGCGCAAGCCUGAUGCAGCCAUGCCGCGUGUAUGAAGAAGGCCUUCGGGUUGUAAAGUACUUUCAGCGGGGAGGAAGGUGUUGUGGUUAAUAACCACAGCAAUUGACGUUACCCGCAGAAGAAGCACCGGCUAACUCCGUGCCAGCAGCCGCGGUAAUACGGAGGGUGCAAGCGUUAAUCGGAAUUACUGGGCGUAAAGCGCACGCAGGCGGUCUGUCAAGUCGGAUGUGAAAUCCCCGGGCUCAACCUGGGAACUGCAUUCGAAACUGGCAGGCUAGAGUCUUGUAGAGGGGGGUAGAAUUCCAGGUGUAGCGGUGAAAUGCGUAGAGAUCUGGAGGAAUACCGGUGGCGAAGGCGGCCCCCUGGACAAAGACUGACGCUCAGGUGCGAAAGCGUGGGGAGCAAACAGGAUUAGAUACCCUGGUAGUCCACGCCGUAAACGAUGUCGAUUUGGAGGUUGUGCCCUUGAGGCGUGGCUUCCGGAGCUAACGCGUUAAAUCGACCGCCUGGGGAGUACGGCCGCAAGGUUAAAACUCAAAUGAAUUGACGGGGGCCCGCACAAGCGGUGGAGCAUGUGGUUUAAUUCGAUGCAACGCGAAGAACCUUACCUGGUCUUGACAUCCACAGAACUUUCCAGAGAUGGAUUGGUGCCUUCGGGAACUGUGAGACAGGUGCUGCAUGGCUGUCGUCAGCUCGUGUUGUGAAAUGUUGGGUUAAGUCCCGCAACGAGCGCAACCCUUAUCCUUUGUUGCCAGCGGUCCGGCCGGGAACUCAAAGGAGACUGCCAGUGAUAAACUGGAGGAAGGUGGGGAUGACGUCAAGUCAUCAUGGCCCUUACGACCAGGGCUACACACGUGCUACAAUGGCGCAUACAAAGAGAAGCGACCUCGCGAGAGCAAGCGGACCUCAUAAAGUGCGUCGUAGUCCGGAUUGGAGUCUGCAACUCGACUCCAUGAAGUCGGAAUCGCUAGUAAUCGUAGAUCAGAAUGCUACGGUGAAUACGUUCCCGGGCCUUGUACACACCGCCCGUCACACCAUGGGAGUGGGUUGCAAAAGAAGUAGGUAGCUUAACCUUCGGGAGGGCGCUUACCACUUUGUGAUUCAUGACUGGGGUGAAGUCGUAACAAGGUAACCGUAGGGGAACCUGCGGUUGGAUCACCUCCUUA
RNAcentral lists this ribosomal RNA (1540 nucleotides) under Enterobacter cloacae. RNAcentral's name for it is "bacterial SSU rRNA". It matches the Rfam family "Bacterial small subunit ribosomal RNA". Lineage: Bacteria; Pseudomonadati; Pseudomonadota; Gammaproteobacteria; Enterobacterales; Enterobacteriaceae. The record is from RNAcentral.